CAAUAGCGUAUAUUAAAGUUGUUGCGGUUAAAAAGCUCGUAGUUGGAUUUCUGUUGAGGUCGGGCGGUGUACACUUCGUGUAUUAUUUGCUUCGGUCUCGGCAUCCUCUUGGGGAACGUCAGGACUUCAUUGGACUGGCGAGAUUCAAGACUUUUACUUUGAGGAAAUUAGAGUGUUCACGGCAGGCAAGUGCUUUGAAUACAUUAGCAUGGAAUAAUAAUAUAGGACCUUCGUUCUAUUUUGUUGGUUUCUAGAACUUAGGUAAUGAUUAAUAGGGACAAUUGGGGGCAUUCGUAUUAACGCGUCAGAGGUGGAAUUCUUGGAUUGCGUUACGACGAACUACUGCGAAAGCAUUUGCCAAAGAUGUUUUCAUUG
RNAcentral lists this ribosomal RNA (375 nucleotides) under uncultured eukaryote. Its description in RNAcentral is "partial 18S ribosomal RNA". It matches the Rfam family "Eukaryotic small subunit ribosomal RNA", at positions 592 to 975 of the family's 1831-position model. The record is from RNAcentral.